GACGAACGCUGGCGGCGUGCCUAACACAUGCAAGUCGAACGGAAAGGCCCUGCUUUUGUGGGGUUCUCGAGUGGCGAACGGGUGAGUAACACGUGAGUAUCCUGCCCUUGACUUUGGGAUAACUUCAGGCAACUGGGGCUAAUACCGGAUAGGAGAUCCUGCUGCAUGGUGGGGGUUGGACAGUUUCGGCGGUUGUGGAUGGACUCGCGGGUUACCAGCUUGUUGGUGGAGUAGUGGCUUACCGAGUCUUAGACGGGUAGCCGGCCUGAGAGGGUGGACGGCGUCAAGGGGACUAAGAGAGGGAGCAGUCGGCAAUGGGAGACAACGGGGGGAAGUAUGGCACAGUGAUCGGGAGCCUGUGAAGAAAGCGCCGGGAGUGGAAAGACGGCCUUCGGGGGAUGAACCGCUGUCGCCUGAUACGAAGCGUGAGUGACGGUACUGAGUGAAGAAGCACCGGCUAACUACGUG
Molecule: ribosomal RNA, 468 nt
Filed under: uncultured bacterium
Lineage: Bacteria
Description: partial 16S ribosomal RNA
Rfam family: Bacterial small subunit ribosomal RNA
Source: RNAcentral